Non-coding RNA from Pelobates cultripes (western spadefoot toad), 565 nucleotides. NCBI's taxonomy places the organism in Eukaryota, Metazoa, Chordata, Amphibia, Anura, Pelobatidae. The record is from the annotation of a GenBank genome assembly.
CUUGCCUCCACCAGUAAUCUACAAGUGGAGUGGGCGGAGUGGCUGGAGUAACUGUGGAAAGGUUGGACUGGGCAGAGUAACUGUGUGGAGUGUUUGGAGUAAAGAUGGUAAACAUUACACUAACCAAUUGAUCAAAUUUAAAAAGUGCACAUGGCAAGCUUGAUAGUGUGAAAAAUGCAUUUCAACUUUUAUUUAUUUAGCACAUUUAAUUGCAAAGUUGUUGCCCAAAGUGCUUCAUAGUUACAUUAAAACAUACAUUUAUAAAAACAUUAGCAAAAUGCUUGCUUUGGAAAAGGCAAUCUAUAACUUUAUAUAUGUAAUCGCCCCUAGAGCAUUAUGCAAUUGAGGUGACAAGACAGGAAGAACCGCUGAGCGACUAAAUAGUUACACAGAGAGGCUUCCUAGGAUUUUAAUAUUUGAAUAGUUUUAAAUGUUUAUAACUACUUGAGAAAUAAUAAAGGCUUCAUAAAUACCAACAGUCUGUCUGCAGUCCGGAAUAUGCCCGUUGGAUCCACCAAACUCAAGAAGCUUAAUCCAGGGCUGUUAAUGAGAGAGUGGCACACAU